Molecule: ribosomal RNA, 1232 nt
Filed under: metagenome
Description: bacterial SSU rRNA
Rfam family: Bacterial small subunit ribosomal RNA
Source: RNAcentral
GUGCGGGUAAAGAUUUAUCGCUAUGGGAGCGGCCUGCGUUGUAUCAGCUUGUUGGUAAGGUAAUGGCUUACCAAGGCUACGACGCAUAGGGGAGGUGAGAGCCUGACCCCCACCGAUGGAACUGAGACACGGUCCAUACUCCUACGGGAGGCAGCAGCCGAGAAUAUUCCGCAAUGGACGAAAGUCUGACGGAGCGACGCCGCGUGCAGGAUGACGGCCUUCGGGUUGUAAACUGCUUUUAUGAGGGAGGAAAUUUUGACGUUACCUCAUGAAUAAGGAGCUCCUAAUUCCGUGCCAGCAGGAGCGGUCAUACGGAAGCUUCAAGCGUUACCCGGAAUCACUGGGCGUAAAGGGUGUGUAGGUGGUUGUAUUAGUCUUCUGUUAAAGACCCGGGCUCAACCCGGGGAGUGCGGAGGAAACGGUGCAACUAGAGGAUAUGAGAGGUGUGCGGAACUCAUGGUGUAGGGGUGAAAUCCGUUGAUAUCAUGGGGAACACCAAAGGCGAAGGCAGCACACUGGCAUAUUCCUGACACUGAGACACGAAAGCGUGGGUAGCGAACGGGAUUAGAUACCCCGGUAGUCCAUGCCCUAAACGAUCCUAACUAGCUUUGGGGAGUAUCGACCCUCUCCGAGGCGAAGCUAACGCGUUAAGUUAGGCGCCUGGGUAGUACGAGCGCAAGCUUAAAACUCAAAGGAAUAGACGGGGACUCGCACAAGCGGUGGAGCGUGCGGCUUAAUUCGUCGCUAAGCGAAGAACCUCACCAAGGCUAGAAAUCUACGGGAACUUACCCAGAAACGGGUAGGGCCUUCGGGCUCGUAGACAGGUGAUGCAUGGCCGUCGUCAGUUCGUGGUUUGAAUUGUACCGUUAAGUCGGGCAACGAACGCAACCCCUAUUGUCUGUUACAAGUGUCAGGCAAGACUGCCCUUUUGGGAGGAAGGUGGGGAUGACGCCAGGUCCGUAUUUCCCUAGAUGCCUUGGGCGGCACGCGCGCUACAAUGGGUGCUACAACGGGACGCGACGAGGUAACUCUGAGCAAAUCCUUUAAAAGCAUCCUCAGUUCGGAUUGUGGGCUGCAACUCGCCCACAUGAAGUCGGAAUCGCUAGUAAUCGCAGGUCAGCCACACUGCGGUGAAUACGUUCUCGAGUCUUGUACUCACCGCCCGUCAACACAAGGGAGCUGGGAGUACCCGACGUCCCAAUUUAUUUGGGCCUACGGUAAGUUCAGUAACA